This 455-nucleotide ribosomal RNA is filed under the name uncultured bacterium. RNAcentral describes it as "bacterial SSU rRNA". It matches the Rfam family "Bacterial small subunit ribosomal RNA", at positions 28 to 524 of the family's 1533-position model. The record is from RNAcentral.
GGUGAAUGCUGGCGGCGUGGAUAAGUCAUGCAAGUCAAGGGGGCCCGCAAGGGCAACCGGCAAACGAGGUAGUAACACGUAGGUAGUCCCCCCAGAGUCGGGCAUAGCCAGCCGAAAGGUUGGGUAAUUCCCGAUAGUCCCGAAAGGGUAAAGGUUUUUCGCUCUGGGAGUUGCCUGCGUAGUAUCAGCUAGUUGGUAGGGUAAUGGCCUACCAAGGCUACGACGCUUAGGGGAGCUGAGAGGCUGACCCCCACCGAUGGAACUGCGACACGGUCCAUACUCCUACGGGAGGCUGCAGACGAGAAUAUUCCGCAAUGGGCGAAAGCCUGACGGAGCGACGCCGCGUGAUUGAUGAAGUGCUUCGGUACGUAAAGAUCUUUUAUCGGGGGACGAAGUUUAUUGACGGUACCCGAUGAAUAAGGGGCUCCUAACUCUGUGCCAGCAGCCGCGGUAAU